This 394-nucleotide ribosomal RNA is filed under the name uncultured bacterium. Its description in RNAcentral is "bacterial SSU rRNA". It matches the Rfam family "Bacterial small subunit ribosomal RNA", at positions 140 to 518 of the family's 1533-position model. The record is from RNAcentral.
GGGAUACCCAGAGGAAACUUUGGCUAAUACCGGAUAACAACAGAUGAGGCAUCUCAACUGUUUGAAAGGCCCUUAUGGGGUCACUAAAAGAUGGACCUGCGGCGCAUUAGCUAGUGGUGAGAUAACAGCCCACCAAGGCGAGGAUGCGUAGCCGACCUGGGAGGGUGAUCGGCCACAUUGGAACUGAGACACGGUCCAAACUCCUACGGGAGGCAGCAGUAAGGAGUUUUCGGCAAUGGGGGAAACCCUGACCGAGCAACGCCGCGUGAGCGAAUGACGGCCCUAUGGGUUGUAAAGCUCUGGUUGUGGAGGGACGAACUGUAAGCUUAGGAAAUGAAGCUUACCUGACGGUACCUUACCAGAAAGCCACGGCUAACUACGUGCCAGCCGCCGC